UACGGAGGGUGCAAGCGUUAUCCGGAAUCACUGGGUUUAAAGGGUGCGUAGGCGGCUAAAUAAGUCAGAGGUGAAAGUUUGUCGCUUAACGAUAGAACUGCCUUUGAUACUGUUAAGCUUGAAAGUAGGUGAGGUUGGCGGAAUGUGACAUGUAGCGGUGAAAUGCAUAGAUAUGUCAUAGAACACCGAUUGCGAAGGCAGCUGGCUAACCUAAAUUUGACGCUGAGGCACGAAAGCGUGGGUAGCAAACAGG
Molecule: ribosomal RNA, 253 nt
Filed under: uncultured bacterium
Lineage: Bacteria
Description: partial 16S ribosomal RNA
Rfam family: Bacterial small subunit ribosomal RNA
Source: RNAcentral